GAGUUUGAUCUUGGCUCAGAUUGAACGCUGGCGGCAUGCCUUACACAUGCAAGUCGAACGGCAGCACGGGAGCUUGCUCCUGGUGGCGAGUGGCGAACGGGUGAGUAAUGCAUCGGAACGUAUCCUGGAGUGGGGGAUAACGUAGCGAAAGUUACGCUAAUACCGCAUAUUCUGUGAGCAGGAAAGCGGGGGACCUUCGGGCCUCGCGCUCUUGGAGCGGCCGAUGUCGGAUUAGCUAGUUGGUGAGGUAAAGGCUCACCAAGGCGACGAUCCGUAGCAGGUCUGAGAGGAUGAUCUGCCACACUGGAACUGAGACACGGUCCAGACUCCUACGGGAGGCAGCAGUGGGGAAUUUGGACAAUGGGGGCAACCCUGAUCCAGCCAUGCCGCGUGAGUGAAGAAGGCCU
This 407-nucleotide ribosomal RNA is filed under the name bacterium enrichment culture clone ALO1_GLFRUDD03F796O. RNAcentral describes it as "bacterial SSU rRNA". It matches the Rfam family "Bacterial small subunit ribosomal RNA", at positions 9 to 417 of the family's 1533-position model. The record is from RNAcentral.